This 616-nucleotide ribosomal RNA is filed under the name Vibrio parahaemolyticus. RNAcentral describes it as "partial 23S ribosomal RNA". It matches the Rfam family "Bacterial large subunit ribosomal RNA", at positions 1 to 678 of the family's 2925-position model. The record is from RNAcentral. Lineage: Bacteria; Pseudomonadati; Pseudomonadota; Gammaproteobacteria; Vibrionales; Vibrionaceae.
GACUAAGCGUACACGGUGGAUGCCUUGGCAGUCAGAGGCGAUGAAGGACGUAUUAACUUGCGAUAAGCCCAGAUUAGGCAGUAAAAGCCACUUGAGUCUGGGAUUUCCGAAUGGGGAAACCCAACUGCAUAAGCAGUUACUGUUAACUGAAUACAUAGGUUAACAGGGCGAACCGGGGGAACUGAAACAUCUAAGUACCCCGAGGAAAAGAAAUCAACCGAGAUUCCGAAAGUAGCGGCGAGCGAAAUUGGACUAGCCCUUAAGCUUUACACGCGUUAGACGAACGGUCUGGAAAGUCCGACGAUACAGGGUGAUAGUCCCGUAGUUGACGACGUGUGUUCAGUGAAAUCGAGUAGGGCGGGACACGUGAUAUCCUGUCUGAAUAUGGGGGGACCAUCCUCCAAGGCUAAAUACUACUGACUGACCGAUAGUGAACCAGUACCGUGAGGGAAAGGCGAAAAGAACCCCUGUGAGGGGAGUGAAAUAGAACCUGAAACCGUGUACGUACAAGCAGUAGGAGCAGGCUUUGUCCUGUGACUGCGUACCUUUUGUAUAAUGGGUCAGCGACUUAUAUUCAGUGGCAAGGUUAACCAUCUAGGGGAGCCGUAGGGAAACC